RNAcentral lists this ribosomal RNA (1417 nucleotides) under metagenome. Its description in RNAcentral is "bacterial LSU rRNA". It matches the Rfam family "Bacterial large subunit ribosomal RNA", at positions 1504 to 2925 of the family's 2925-position model. The record is from RNAcentral.
AUCCGCGUCCAAGCAGUUAGGCUGGGAAAUAGGCAAAUCCGUUUCCCAUAAGGCUGAGCUGUGAUGGCGAGCGAAAUAUAGUAGCGAAGUUCCUGAUUCCACACUGCCAAGAAAAGCCUCUAGCGAGGUGAGAGGUGCCCGUACCGCAAACCGACACAGGUAGGCGAGGAGAGAAUCCUAAGGUGAUCGAGAGAACUCUCGUUAAGGAACUCGGCAAAAUGACCCCGUAACUUCGGGAGAAGGGGUGCUCUGUUAGGGUGCAAGCCCGAGAGAGCCGCAGUGAAUAGGCCCAGGCGACUGUUUAGCAAAAACACAGGUCUCUGCGAAGCCGUAAGGCGAAGUAUAGGGGCUGACGCCUGCCCGGUGCUGGAAGGUUAAGAGGAGCGCUUAGCGUAAGCGAAGGUGCGAAUUGAAGCCCCAGUAAACGGCGGCCGUAACAAUAACGGUCCUAAGGUAGCGAAAUUCCUUGUCGGGUAAGUUCCGACCCGCACGAAAGGCGCAACGAUCUGGGCACUGUCUCAACGAGAGACUCGGUGAAAUUAUAGUACCUGUGAAGAUGCAGGUUACCCGCGACAGGACGGAAAGACCCCGUGGAGCUUUACUGCAGCCUGAUAUUGAAUGUUGGUACAGCUUGUACAGGAUAGGUAGGAGCCUUGGAAACCGGAGCGCCAGCUUCGGUGGAGGCAUCGGUGGGAUACUACCCUGGCUGUAUUGACCUUCUAACCCGCCGCCCUUAUCGGGCGGGGAGACAGUGUCAGGUGGGCAGUUUGACUGGGGCGGUCGCCUCCUAAAAGGUAACGGAGGCGCCCAAAGGUUCCCUCAGAAUGGUUGGAAAUCAUUCGCAGAGUGUAAAGGCACAAGGGAGCUUGACUGCGAGACCUACAAGUCGAGCAGGGACGAAAGUCGGGCUUAGUGAUCCGGUGGUUCCGCAUGGAAGGGCCAUCGCUCAACGGAUAAAAGCUACCCCGGGGAUAACAGGCUUAUCUCCCCCAAGAGUCCACAUCGACGGGGAGGUUUGGCACCUCGAUGUCGGCUCAUCGCAUCCUGGGGCUGUAGUCGGUCCCAAGGGUUGGGCUGUUCGCCCAUUAAAGCGGUACGCGAGCUGGGUUCAGAACGUCGUGAGACAGUUCGGUCCCUAUCCGCCGCGGGCGCAGGAAAUUUGAGAGGAGCUGUCCUUAGUACGAGAGGACCGGGAUGGACGCACCGCUGGUGUACCAGUUGUUCUGCCAAGGGCAUCGCUGGGUAGCUAUGUGCGGACGGGAUAAGUGCUGAAAGCAUCUAAGCAUGAAGCCCCCCUCAAGAUGAGAUUUCCCAUUCCGCAAGGAAGUAAGAUCCCUGAAAGAUGAUCAGGUUGAUAGGUCUGUGGUGGAAGUGUGGCGACACAUGGAGCUGACAGAUACUAAUCGAUCGAGGACUU